This 253-nucleotide ribosomal RNA is filed under the name uncultured bacterium. RNAcentral's name for it is "partial 16S ribosomal RNA". It matches the Rfam family "Bacterial small subunit ribosomal RNA", at positions 524 to 776 of the family's 1533-position model. The record is from RNAcentral.
UACGUAGGGUGCGAGCGUUGUCCGGAAUUAUUGGGCGUAAAGGGCUCGUAGGCGGUCUGUUGCGUCAGGAGUGAAAACUCGGGGCUUAACCCCGAGCCUGCUUCUGAUACGGGCAGACUAGAGGUAUGCAGGGGAGAACGGAAUUCCUGGUGUAGCGGUGAAAUGCGCAGAUAUCAGGAGGAACACCGAUAGCGAAGGCAGCUCGCUGGGACGGUACUGACGCUCAGGCGCGAAAGCGUGGGGAGCGAACAGG